GACUCUCUGGUCUGUACUGACGCUGAGGCGCGAAAGCGUGGGGAGCGAACAGGAUUAGAUACCCUGGUAGUCCACGCCGUAAACGAUGAGUGCUAAGUGUUAGAGGGUUUCCGCCCUUUAGUGCUGCAGCAAACGCAUUAAGCACUCCGCCUGGGGAGUACGGUCGCAAGACUGAAACUCAAAGGAAUUGACGGGGGCCCGCACAAGCGGUGGAGCAUGUGGUUUAAUUCGAAGCAACGCGAAGAACCUUACCAGGUCUUGACAUCCUCUGACACCCCUAGAGAUAGGGCUUCCCCUUCGGGGGCAGAGUGACAGGUGGUGCAUGGUUGUCGUCAGCUCGUGUCGUGAGAUGUUGGGUUAAGUCCCGCAACGAGCGCAACCCUUGAUCUUAGUUGCCAGCAUUCAGUUGGGCACUCUAAGGUGACUGCCGGUGACAAACCGGAGGAAGGUGGGGAUGACGUCAAAUCAUCAUGCCCCUUAUGACCUGGGCUACACACGUGCUACAA
Molecule: ribosomal RNA, 506 nt
Filed under: Bacillus swezeyi
Lineage: Bacteria; Bacillati; Bacillota; Bacilli; Caryophanales; Bacillaceae
Description: bacterial SSU rRNA
Rfam family: Bacterial small subunit ribosomal RNA
Source: RNAcentral